This 779-nucleotide ribosomal RNA is filed under the name uncultured Bacilli bacterium. Its description in RNAcentral is "bacterial SSU rRNA". It matches the Rfam family "Bacterial small subunit ribosomal RNA", at positions 46 to 782 of the family's 1533-position model. Lineage: Bacteria; Bacillati; Bacillota; Bacilli. The record is from RNAcentral.
GCCUAAUACAUGCAAGUCGUACGCACUGGCCCAACUAAUUGAUGGUGCUUGCACCUGAUUGACGAUGGAUCACCAGUGAGUGGCGGACGGGUGAGUAACACGUAGGUAACCUGCCCCGGAGCGGGGGAUAACAUUUGGAAACAGAUGCUAAUACCGCAUAACAACAAAAGCCACAUGGCUUUUGUUUGAAAGGUGGCUUUGGCUAUCACUCUGGGAUGGACCUGCGGUGCAUUAGCUAGUUGGUAAGGUAACGGCUUACCAAGGCGAUGAUGCAUAGCCGAGUUGAGAGACUGAUCGGCCACAAUGGAACUGAGACAUGGUCCAUACUCCUACGGGAGGCAGCAGUAGGGAAUCUUCCACAAUGGGCGCAAGCCUGAUGGAGCAACACCGCGUGAGUGAAGAAGGGUUUCGGCUCGUAAAGCUCUGUUGUUGGAGAAGAACGUGCGUGAGAGUAACUGUUCACGCAGUGACGGUAUCCAACCAGAAAGUCACGGCUAACUACGUGCCAGCAGCCGCGGUAAUACGUAGGUGGCAAGCGCUAUCCGGAUUUAUUGGGCGUAAAGCGAGCGCAGGCGGUUGCUUAGGUCUGAUGUGAAAGCCUUCGGCCUAACCGAAGAAGUGCAUCGGAAACCGGGCGACUUGAGUGCAGAAGAGGACAGUGGAACUCCAUGUGUAGCGGUGGAAUGCGUAGAUAUAUGGAAGAACACCAGUGGCGAAGGCGGCUGUCUGGUCUGCAACUGACGCUGAGGCUCGAAGCAUGGGUAGCGAACAGGAUUAGA